Molecule: long non-coding RNA, 911 nt
Filed under: Capra hircus (goat)
Lineage: Eukaryota; Metazoa; Chordata; Mammalia; Artiodactyla; Bovidae
Description: lncRNA (ENSCHIG00000006904.1)
Source: RNAcentral
UUUGACUUUUCUGAGGGAUGUAUCUGUCCCACUGGUUAGGUUUUGAUUUAGUAGUGAAAUAUUGCUUGGAAGAUAUAUCAAUUGUUGUUAAUUACUGGUUAGUUGCUAAGUCACCGUCCAACUCUUUUGUGACCUCAUGAACUGUAGCCUGCCAGGCUCCUCUGUCCAUGGGAUUUCCCAGGCAAGAAUACUGGAGUGGAUUGCCAUUUCCUUCUCCAGGAGAUCUUCCCAACCCAGGGAUUGGGCUUGCAUCUCCUGCAUUGGCAGGCAGAUUCUUUACUACUGAGCCACCUAGGAUGCCUGAUAUAUUAGUAACUGAGUAUAAAAGGAAGUCCUCUCACACAUCAGUUUUCCUAAACUCUGUGAUAUGCAAUACAUCCACACGUGGAACUGAAAUGGCCUCUCUCUGCUUGCUGUGCGCAUGGGACCUCUACACCUGUUCAGUCGUGAAACCACUAAUGAGGCCUCUCCUGUCCUAUUCAGGAUUUCGACGGAAUAUGAAAUCUCAUUACCCAGAGUCAAUGAAUGACAUCUGUUCCCCAUCCCCCGCCUGGAGCCGGCAUCCCAGCCGCUCGGUGCUGUGAAAAGGAUGUGCCGCUCAGAGUGAGAAUCAGAGCUCAGAAAAGAAGGUGGCCCUUCCUGGCCCAGGCAGAGGGCAGAUGGAGCUUUCCAGUGUCCUGGCCCCCUUUUAUACCUUUGUCCUAAAAUAAUUAGCAAAAAGGAAACUUCAUUAUUUCAGACUAUGAAAAAGUUCUGACUAUUUGCUUCUGAAGCAAGUCAAAACCUGGAAGUGAGCAGUUUUCUUGAUAAGGAAGAAUGUUUUCAGAUUAAUUUGAAAACAUCCAGAUAAAUGGAUAAAUGCUUAAAUUGAUUAAAUGUUAAAAUGAUUUAAAAUGUGUAUGAUGUAAAGG